ACUACUUUACAACUACUUAGCAUGUUAGCUAACCCUUCCCCUGACCUUAAGCCCUAAACCAUACAAAACAUAUCAUACUAAUUGGAGUGUCCCGGAUUUACGUUGACUAUGUAUUUGGAUAAAAGUGUGUGGGUGUUGAUUGUGCAGAGAGCGUGUGUCAGUGCUCCAGCUACCCCCCACUGAUCUACGCCAUCUCUGCAGCAGCUGGCCUGCUUCUCCUCGUCCUCAUCUGGCUGUGUGCAGCAGAGUGUGUUAAGCUGAGAAAACGUCAUAAAACACAAGCCCCCAUCCCCAUCUAUGAGGAAAUGAACAGUGGGUGUCGAGGAGCUGGAAGUGCCCAGAAUAACCAUCCUGUGCCUACACACCUGGAGGAAACAGAGUCCCCGGUGUACGCCAACCCCCAGGCCAGACAAGCACAGGAGAACCACUACGCCAGCCCCCGACAGAUCACUCUGAAGCCCUGAGCGAACCACGCUGAGGGUGCGUGUCAUGUCCCCCUAAUGUUUUUUUAAAAGGGGAGUGGACACGGAUGGCAAAAAUAAGAGUACCAGAGUUUCAGAUGUAGAUAUAAAUGUUCUAACCCACUCUGACAGGUGGUGGGAAAGAGUUUGACUCUACCGGAUCUGAUGUCAUUGCUUUUUCAAGUGUGUGCAAGAUCAUAAACUAUUGGUCCCACMUCACCUCUCUUUUCUAGUGUCAAGGAGUCACCCAACWAUGGUUGCUCAACAAACCCACCUACAGGAUGAGAAUGGAAAAGACUUACAGAGCUAGUACAUAGGUCACCGUGCCUGUAUAGUACAUAGGUCACCGUGCCUGUAUAGGUGUACUAGUGGUGAUGCCCUUAUGGCACAGCUGCCCUCAGAACAGGAUCUAAUAGGGAAAACUCCAAUCUGCAAACUAAUUGACAAACACCAACAUCAAGAACUGACCACAACACCCUUUAACAGACCAGAAAAAACUGCAACUUUAUUAAUAGUUUGAAAGAAGCUCCAUAGUUCAUGAAAACAUUGUUUUCGGUGCAUGUCAUUUAACAAUCACAUUCUAUGAGGAGAAAGAGAUACAGAGAAAAUAAAUCAUUACAAGCCACUGACUUUUC
Salvelinus sp. IW2-2015 is the source of this 1096-nucleotide long non-coding RNA. RefSeq lists it as uncharacterized. The record is from RefSeq and is a predicted model, not a curated record. Lineage: Eukaryota; Metazoa; Chordata; Actinopteri; Salmoniformes; Salmonidae.